CUGGAAUGCGGUAGCACCCUUUUCAAAAGAACAGUGGCUGAUCGUUUACAAAUAGCCCCACUUGGAGUCGUUUUGCAUUAAAAUGGCGGUUUCAAUGGUGAUAAAAUGCGUGGAGGAAGUUGUUUUUUGCGUCAAAAUACGGAAAAUAAACGUAUAUGAGAAAUCACAAACGUGAAAGAAGGCAGAAACCUGAACCAGGACGAGAGGUUCCACAUCUGAUGAUCCAAGGAGACCAGAAGGACCUCUCCCAGUGAUACCAGGAGAUCCAGUCUACGGUCGAGUGUUCCGAAGGAAGUGGGAUCAGCCGAGGAGAGAAGGACCCUACGAGGUGGCAACGGCCACAAUCACGGCCGUCCAAGUGAAAGGAAGCAAGACGUGGUAUCAUCUAAACCACUGCACCCGAGUCCCGACGGAGAGAAGGACACAACCAUACAGAGAUGAGGACACAGAGGAUGCUGAUUCACCAGAGGGGACCCCAGAGGGAGCAGGAGCAGAGGAAUCGAUCAAAGCCCCGGGAGGACUCAAGAAAAUGGCAGACCAGAUACAACGAGUGCAUCAGCUAACACACUCAGAAGAAGCACCAGGGGAAAAGAGCCUGAAAAGAAAAGAGCCUGAAAAGAAAAGAGACAAACGACCAAAGUUUCCUCCAGUAUGGCCAGAAAGCCCAGAAGUGGGAGGGGUAACAUGUCUGCCACUCCUGAUGAUAUACCUGUUGGGGCAGGCCUCUUUGACAGAAGCACUCUACAGAGGGGCUCCGAGGUAUUGCCUAAAGAAUGGGAACAUCUCUUCCCUGAAAUGGACACCUUCCAAAUGGAAGCCCAGUCCGGCCUGAGGAGGGAGCUUCAGGGGAGGAAAGAAGGAGAGACCCCACUAACGAGAAGGAAAAGUCGAGUGAGCUGAAGAAAAUGGCAAUUUCCCCAAAAAUAGAUUUUUCAGCUCUUACCUGAUCUCCAUAAUGAACCAUUGGAAUUAGGACCACGAAAGAACAGUGACAAUGACAGAGUAAGAGCGACUGAGGACAAUACGAAGAUGAUGCACGCACUCACCAUCAAGAUAAAGGAUAAAAGCAUGAAGAGAAGAGAGGAGCCUGUCGAACGAGGUAAAAAGACAGGACCUGUUGAUAGGUUUAAGUUUCAUGUUCCGCCACAACUUCCAACAGAACCAGGGGAACAGAGGACAGUUUCUGUAUGGAAGAAGAAACCUGUACCGGAGGAGCCACUCUGUGGAUGGACGCGUCAUAUAACAAAGGGAGAAGCUGUUUGGGACCUCAAAGGAUGUGACCUGACACUAACCAAACGUGUGGAAGGCUGGGAGUUUAUCAUGAACAAGAUGACACCAGCAGAAGGUGAAGAAUUUGAAAUUGAAAUAACAAGAACAGGACUGAGUGAAGGAAACAGUUACGAAUAUGUUAAAUUGGGUCCUAUGCAAGCACCUGAACAAAAACUGCUGGUGACAACCAAAGUAAUGACAACAAUGGUGGCGGCUGCUGAAACGACCAACUACCACUGAGAUGACACCAACUGCUCUUACCAAGCAGACCACGGCAAUCACAAAGACACCUGACACAUCAGAGCCAAAAGGAUUCUUUAAUGAGAUUUGGAAUUCUUUUUCAAACUCAAAUGAUCUAUCUCAUGACAAGAACAUUGCCAAGAUGACAGAUAUAGAUGUAUCAGACUCAGAAUCGUUCAAAGACACCACACAGGAAGAAGGGUGAAAAACGAAUGUACCUGAACCUGCAUCGUUUGAAGAAAUGUGUUAAAUGUAAAAUGUUCAAUAUUCAGAGAAAAUACUACAUUCCUUUGUGUGACAUAGAAUGUAGGAUUGCCCAUGGGAGCACUAGAGGCAGGACUGUGUUGAACAACAUUGGGUUGGGUGACAAGGAUUGUGCUGUCUAUAACAUUUGAACUGAAUUAAAUGGACCUUUGUUAGAUGGAAACACUGUGAUUAAAGGAAUAUAUGAAUGUUUUAACAGCCAUAACACCGAAGGUAUUGAUGUAGGAAACACCACUGUAGAAUGUGAUACUAUUUGGGUACUAGAGACUGCAGGGGUUCGUAGAAAUAAAGAUAAAGGGUUGGUGAGGAAUAGAAAAGGGUUGUGUGGUAAAAUAACUCAGGUUGCGCCAUCUCUUAUUAUGCUAAACAAUCAAGACAGAGGUCUUGAGGAUAGUUCUGGAUGUGUGGAAAUAACAAACUGUUGAAUGUACUGCCAGAUGGAUCCUUUGCAAUCGCUAUGGCUAAACUUAAAGGGUUACGAGUAGAGGUUAAGGCAAAUGCUGGGGUUGACUCUCAUGUUUGGGAUUGGUUAGACUUAGCAUUGGGGAAAUGGGGAGCCAUGUUUGCUAGGAUGACCUUUAUGCUGGGAGGGGGGAUAUUGGCUCUGGGUAUUGUAUUUUGUUGUGUUUUACCCUGGGUGAAAUCACUUGUGAUCCAGACAACGGUUAAACAGAUGUUUGUAAGUAGAGCUGACACUCCGGUGAUAGUUGAUUCUGUGCCGGGUAGGCCAGGCCACUAUACUGAUGGGAAUGGACAGUUAUGCAAUGUGGUUGGUGGACCCCCUGACUGCCCUUUUGGUAAUCCAAACUGCCUGUAUGGAGUGGUCUCUGGAGGUGGUUACACUUGCCAGGGUUUUCAUGAGGAUGGUUUACAUGUAGAUGCUGACAUUCCAAAGUCAACUGAUACGUAUCCACAAAAAGGGUAUUUUCCAUAGUAAAUACAGGGGUACUAUGUAUUUCUAUUUUUGCUUUUGGUCUUGUGUUUUUGUAUGUUUUGUUGAAUGUUUUUAUAGGUAUAUCGAUGAAUAUAUCUGGGUUUUCUUUUAAUUAAAAGUUAGUUUUGCCAAAAACAUGAAGGUAACAGUGGGAUAUCCCGGUUAUAAGUGUCUAUGGACCAUGUCCUUAAUCUUUUAACAGAGGUUGGUAUCAUGUUUGUUGGAGAGGUGUUUGAGAGGGAGGAUCAUGUUGAAAGCCUAAAUGUAGAAUGAUGUUGUGUCAAUUUGACUUUGUACCUACAUACUCAUGCUUCAACAGAAUGUUAUGUAUUUAUUUUAUUGUUUGCUUCUAACUAGAUCUUUUACUCUUAUGAAAUACUAGAGAUGUUUGGUCUAAGUUAAUUAGGAAGCUUGAUUUUUGUUAAUCAACUGUUGAUAUUAUGUUCCGGAUAUGUCCUUUUAAGUUUUUUGGUGCUUAUUAAAGCACCAGAGGGAGGUUAUGUGGGAGAAUUAUAUACAUGAUUUGAUAACAAAAGAGAAAAUGUACAUUUAUGGGUUCAUUCCUGUUCUGGUAAAGUGCAUUUUCUAUUGAAUAGGGCAGAAAGCCGAGAAAGACCAUGGGAGUAUGGAACAGCCGGGAACACUAAAGGAAUGCAGACACAUAGACGCCUAGAAAUGACUGGACAUACAAAGAGUGGUGCGUCACCAAGAUGUGUCCCCCCGCCACUGGGGAAGGAGAGAUCGGUUCCGCCUGGAGGUGUCGGGGGGAGGGCAGGGGGCGAAACGGGAGGAGAGGCCACUGCCCAGAAUCGACCCACUAGCCCCCCGAGACUCCUCCCUCCCUCUCUCACUCACUCCUCUACCUUACUUCACAUUGCCCCAGAAAGGUCUGCUCACCAUGGUGUUUCUACGGUAACCAGAAGAGGAGAUGAUGUUUCCAUGGAGAUUCAGACCAAGAUCCCCCCCCCCUGUUCAUUCCCCAGACCAAUCUGAUGUGUUCUAGGGGCCAACAGUGCUGAUAUGUCCAACAGGGCUGAUAUGGUCUAGGGACCAACAGGGCUGAUAUGUCCAACAGGGCUGAUAUGGUCUAGGGACCAACAGGGCUGAUAUGUUCUAGGGACCAACAGGGCUGAUAUGUUCUAGGGACCAACAGGGCUGAUAUGUUCUAGGGACCAACAGGGCUGAUAUGUCCAACAGGGCUGAUAUGUUCUAGGGACCAACAGGGCUGAUAUGUUCUAGGGGCCAACAGGGCUGAUAUGUUCUAGGGACCAACAGGGCUGAUAUGUUCUAGGGACCAACAGGGCUGAUAUGUUCUAGGGACCAACAGGGCUGAUAUGUUCUAGGGGCCAACAGGGCUGAUAUGUUCUAGGGACCAACAGGGCUGAUAUGUUCUAGGGACCAACAGGGCUGAUAUGUUCUAGGGACCAACAGGGCUGAUAUGUUCUAGGGGCCAACAAGGCUGAUAUGUUCUAGGGGUCAACAGGGCUAAUAUGUUCUAGGGGUCAACAGGGCUGAUAUGUUCUAGGGGUCAACAGGGCUAAUAUGUUCUAGGGGUCAACAGGGCUGAAAUGUGAAACUGCAUGUAAAGCAUACAUUUAAACAAGUGGUAAACAAACAUAUGUGUACACUAACAUACAUGUAAACAAACCAACAUGUACUGUAAACAAACAUACGUGUACACUGACAUACACACAUGUAAACAAACCAACAUGUACUGUAAACAAACAUACAUGUACACUGACAUACAUAUAUGUAAACAAACCAACAUGUACUGUAAACAAACAUAUGUGUACACUAACAUACAUGUAAACAAACCAACAUGUACUGUAAACAAGCAUACAUGUACACUAACAUACAUGUAAACAAACCAACCUGUACUGUAAACAAACAUAAGUGUACACUAACAUACAUGUAAACAAACCAACAUGUACUGUAAACAAACAUACAUGUACACUGACAUACAUACAUGUAAACAAACCAACAUGUACUGUAAACAAACAUACAUGUACACUAACAUACAUGUAAACAAACCAACAUGUACUGUAAACAAACAUACAUGUACACUAACAUACAUGUAAACAAACCAACAUGUACUGUAAACAAACAUACAUGUACACUAACAUACAUGUAAACAAACCAACAUGUACUGUAAACAAACAUACAUGUACACUGACAUACAUACAUGUAAACAAACCAACAUGUACGGUAAACAAACAUACGUGUACACUGACAUACAUACAUGUAAAAAAAAAACAUGUACUGUAAACAAACAUACAUGUACACUGACAUACAUACAUGUAAACAAACCAACAUGUACGGUAAACAAACAUACGUGUACACUGACAUACAUACAUGUAAAAAAAAAACAUGUACUGUAAACAAACAUACAUGUACACUGACAUACAUACAUGUAAACAAACCAACAUGUAACUAACAACUAACUUUCUACUAUUAAACUCGGACAAAACAGAGAUUCUUGUUCUAGGUCCCAAGAAACAAAGAGAUCUUCUGUUGAAUCUGACAAUUAAUCUUAAUGGUUGUACAGUCGUCUCAAAUAAAACUGUGAAG
Oncorhynchus tshawytscha (Chinook salmon) is the source of this 5275-nucleotide long non-coding RNA. The record is from Ensembl. NCBI's taxonomy places the organism in Eukaryota, Metazoa, Chordata, Actinopteri, Salmoniformes, Salmonidae.